This 253-nucleotide ribosomal RNA is filed under the name uncultured bacterium. Its description in RNAcentral is "partial 16S ribosomal RNA". It matches the Rfam family "Bacterial small subunit ribosomal RNA", at positions 524 to 776 of the family's 1533-position model. RNAcentral also lists the same sequence under 1 other name. The record is from RNAcentral.
UACGGAGGGUGCAAGCGUUAUCCGGAUUCACUGGGUUUAAAGGGUGCGUAGGAGGGCAGGUAAGUCAGUGGUGAAAUCUCCAAGCUUAACUUGGAAACUGCCGUUGAUACUAUCUGUCUUGAAUACCGUGGAGGUGAGCGGAAUAUGUCAUGUAGCGGUGAAAUGCUUAGAUAUGACAUAGAACACCAAUUGCGAAGGCAGCUCGCUACACGAAUAUUGACUCUGAGGCACGAAAGCGUGGGGAUCAAACAGG